GGCUGGUCUAAAGGUAAUGAGUUAUCUCACUUGAUUGUCCACAGUCAGUUACUGAUGGAACUCCUGUUCUAGUCUUUCCCCCUUCUCACUACUGCACCUGACUAGUCUAAA
Molecule: Y RNA, 111 nt
Filed under: Microcebus murinus (gray mouse lemur)
Lineage: Eukaryota; Metazoa; Chordata; Mammalia; Primates; Cheirogaleidae
Description: Y RNA (ENSMICG00000037325.2)
Rfam family: Y RNA
About the family: Y RNAs are components of the Ro ribonucleoprotein particle (Ro RNP), in association with Ro60 and La proteins. The Y RNAs and Ro60 and La proteins are well conserved, but the function of the Ro RNP is not known.
Source: Rfam by way of RNAcentral